AAACUUUUAUAAUUCCUAAGCAUGAUUAGCUGUUUACACAUAUAAGAGGUGCCUACCUCAAACCUUGUGAACAAUGUUCACACAUUAUCCAUCUGACA
Otolemur garnettii (small-eared galago) is the source of this 98-nucleotide small nucleolar RNA. The record is from Ensembl. NCBI's taxonomy places the organism in Eukaryota, Metazoa, Chordata, Mammalia, Primates, Galagidae.